RNAcentral lists this transfer RNA (86 nucleotides) under Candidatus Saccharibacteria bacterium RIFCSPHIGHO2_12_FULL_47_17. RNAcentral's name for it is "tRNA-Leu". It matches the Rfam family "tRNA". From Rfam's summary of the family: Transfer RNA (tRNA) molecules are approximately 80 nucleotides in length. Their secondary structure includes four short double-helical elements and three loops (D, anti-codon, and T loops). The record is from RNAcentral. Lineage: Bacteria; Candidatus Saccharimonadota. RNAcentral also lists the same sequence under 1 other name.
GGGCGAGUGCUGGAACGGUUUACAGAGCGGACUUAAAAUCCGCGCCUCGAAAGAGGUUGUGGGUUCGAAUCCCACCUCGCCCACCA